RNAcentral lists this long non-coding RNA (1022 nucleotides) under Homo sapiens (human). Its description in RNAcentral is "HSALNT0281728". The record is from RNAcentral. Lineage: Eukaryota; Metazoa; Chordata; Mammalia; Primates; Hominidae.
AGGACACAGGGGUGGUGGGGGUGAUGUGGGUGGCAGUGAAGGGAUGGCUGGCCGAUCAAAGGGCCCCCUCAGGCCAAACCCAUGGAAAAGGCUUUGAUCUCCUAAUCACAUCUAUUUAUCUUGGGUCCAGCCUGAGACAAAAGAACCGCCCUGAAGGGCCGGCCUUUGAGGGCAAGCCUCGCUCCUGAGCUUCUCUGUGGGUUACUGAGACCUUGGGCAACCAAGAAGGCAAAUCUGGGACCCCUGAGGCCCAGGCGGACCCUGGCCGGCUGGCAACGGGGAGAGGGGGAUCGAAUGCACUGGAACCAGGCCUGGAAAACCAAACAUGAUGGCCAGAUCUGAAGUGACAGCCAGAUGCAGAGAAGACAGCAGCACCAUCAACGGGGUUUACUUGUCAUCCAAGUUCUCUGACUGGGGUAUUGGAGACUGGGGACUGAGAGGAAAAGAGAAGCAGAGUUCCGUGAUCUUUCAUUCACAUCUCAUAAUAUCAGCAGCAAGAACAGUAAUAGCAUUUACUUCAUGCCUGGCACUGUUCUUAAUACUUCCCCUUUAUUAACCCAGAGCUAUGCUAUCAUCGUGCCCAUUUUACAGAUGAAGAGACCGAGGCACGGAGCGGUUACGUGACUCAUGCGCGGUUACACAGCUGACAUAUGCUGGAGCAGGAGACUUCACCUUCCGUUUCCUCCUUUCCUGCCUCCUGACCUCUGAAAUGGAGGGGCAGAAACAGGACCUAAUGGACCCAGGCUCUUCCUCUAAUGCUCUCUGGGUCUCUGCUUGCUCAUUUCUUUUGUCAAAUGUGAUAACAAACCUCCUCCCCAAAGCCCCCGACAGGGGUGUUUUGAAGCUUGAAAGACAGAAGUCCACUUGGGUGCCAAUGAGGAUCAGUCCAAGCCAACAAUGCCCAGCCUCAGAGGGUCACCCAGGGCACUCCUCCAGGGACACGAAGGGGACCUCAGUUGUGGUGGAGCAGGUUGCUCCUUCCUCCCCACUGUCAAGCCAUGUAACCUCUCAGACCAGUUUUC